Molecule: long non-coding RNA, 477 nt
Organism: Myotis davidii
Lineage: Eukaryota; Metazoa; Chordata; Mammalia; Chiroptera; Vespertilionidae
Exons: 2
Source: RefSeq, a predicted model, not a curated record
CUCAGCUUCAGAAUCACACCGGGAAGGAUGGCUACAUCGCAAGGCGGAGGACACUGAGAUUCGGGAGGUGUCUGUUAUCUCCCCAGCUCUACAAGGUGAGGGCAGCAGCUCCCGGGCAUCUCAAGAGGCUGUUCAGAGGCCGGAUGGGAAGGCUUCUCUAGGUCGGUCGGUCGGAAGAUACCGUCUUGCGUCUGGCCCCACCUGCAUCACAGCCCCUGGAAGCAGCGGGGUAGAAGGCUGGUCAGGUAGGCAAGUGACAGUAUGUGUCACAUUGAGGAUGGGAUGGGGGUGUCGGCAGCAGCCUUGACGAGGUUCAUCAAUCAAUCAAUAUUGACUGUACAUCACCCAGUACAGAAAACCAUGCUGUGAAUAUUCGGGGGGAAAGAAAAAAAAAGAUGGCAGUGUCACUAAGAAGAAAAACAAAUGAUAACUUUGCAUGUGAAAAGCCAACAUGCUAGUGGGGGCAUAGACUUGAAA